This 393-nucleotide unclassified non-coding RNA is filed under the name uncultured fungus. RNAcentral describes it as "partial contains small subunit ribosomal RNA, internal transcribed spacer 1, and 5.8S ribosomal RNA". The stretch from base 1 to 73 matches the Rfam family "Eukaryotic small subunit ribosomal RNA", at positions 1759 to 1831 of the family's 1831-position model. The record is from RNAcentral. Lineage: Eukaryota; Fungi.
UCAAACUUGGUCAUUUAGAGGAAGUAAAAGUCGUAACAAGGUUUCCGUAGGUGAACCUGCGGAAGGAUCAUUAACACGUAUCCACGUAUCAACCCCUCUGUGAUAUCUAUCUCUUGUAAAUGGUUGGUUUAGUUCAGCGAUUCGCAUAGAUCUCAACGAUGGAAGCCCUCUCGGGGGCUUGAGGUCUGAGUUGCUGGGCGUUUGAAGACUGGCCGACAUUUUCCCAUCGUUAGCCCUCUAACCCAUUUUUAACCCCUUUGUACUUCUCUGUACUGAACCAAUUCCUUCGAGUUCUCUUCCUUUACUGGGAGACGAGCACGAAAGAUAUUACGAAACUAAAGAACAACUCUUAGCAACGGAUAUCUUGGUUCCCGCAUCGAUGAAGAACGCAGC